Molecule: ribosomal RNA, 447 nt
Filed under: uncultured bacterium
Lineage: Bacteria
Description: bacterial SSU rRNA
Rfam family: Bacterial small subunit ribosomal RNA
Source: RNAcentral
GGACUCGCAUCCCAUUAGCUAGUUGGUGAGGUAACGGCCCACCAAGGCAACGAUGGGUAGCCGACCUGAGAGGGUGAUCGGCCACACUGGAACUGAGACACGGUCCAGACUCCUACGGGAGGCAGCAGUGGGGAAUAUUGGGCAAUGGGCGCAAGCCUGACCCAGCAACGCCGCGUGAGGGAAGAAUGUCUUCGGAUUGUAAACCUCUGUCCUUGGGGACGUGACGGUACCCAAGGGAGGAAGCUCGGCUAACUACGUGCCAGCAGCCGCGGUAAUACGUAGGGUGCAAGCGUUGUCCGGAAUUAUUGGGCGUAAAGGGUGCGUAGGCGGCGCUGCAAGUCAGAUGUGAAAUCCCCGGGCUUAACUCGGGAGUUGCAUUUGAAACUGCAGUGCUUGAGUGAAGAAGAGGCAAGUGGAAUUCCUAGUGUAGCGGUGGAAUGCGUAGAU